UUGGCCGCCAUAGUAUUUGCCCUAAAAAUUAAAUCUAGAGACAUUACCUUUACGGGGUGAUCUGUCAAAUCUUCACUGAUCACAAAAGCCUCAAAUACAUUGUAAUACCCCAUAUUUUUAGUAUUUAUUUAAAUAAUAAAAUAUUUAUUUUAUAUUUAUUUUCUAAAAUAAAUAUUUUAAGUAAAGGGUAUUUUAGUAUUUUCAAUGAUUUUUAAUUAUUUUGGCGGGAAUAUGGCGCCAAAAUUGAAUUUGUUAAGCUUUUGGUAUUAAAUCCUAGUCAAAAAAUUUCAGAAAACCAAAAAAAAAAAAAAAAAAAAAAAAUUUUUUUUUUUAGGGGCCAUAUAUUCCUACGGGAUUUAUGGUGAAUGGAGGGAGUUUUGUUUUCCUAUAACUUCCAAAUUUAUGAUGGAUGUUACAAAUCUUGGUUUAAUCCCCUAAUUUAUGGUGAAGGUUACAAACUAUUUAAUUUUUGAAAUUAAGUACUACCUAUUCUACUCCUAUAAAUACCCCAUAUACCUUAAGCCAUCUUUUCCACACAACAACUUUGAAGAAUUCAUAUUCUCUUACUUCAAAGUUCUUCUUUCUCUUCCUAUCUAUUCUAGUUUUAUAUUUCUUAUUCAAGUUUCAAUUUUCUUUGGUUUAAGAAAAAUAUUUUCAUAUUUCUUACUCAAAAAUAUUAUGCUCAUGAUAGGUCAUUCAUGUUUAAAUUCAUGAUUAAGUUCAUGUGGUAAAUUGCUUAUUGGUUGGUUAUGAGAAAGCUCAAGUAUAAGAAUACGUGAAGAUACUAGUAUACUUUUUGUGCAAGAUCAAGAUUUGCAGGUGAAUUUUGGAUGUGCAUGAGAGCAUACUAGGAACGGGAUCUUCACCUAGAUUAGAGUGUUUCAUUUAUUUUGAGUAUUGAGACAAUAUUUACUUUUAUUAAUAAAAAAGUAUUAUUAUUAUUUUUGGUUAAA
Beta vulgaris subsp. vulgaris (sugar beet) is the source of this 953-nucleotide long non-coding RNA. RefSeq lists it as uncharacterized. The record is from RefSeq and is a predicted model, not a curated record. NCBI's taxonomy places the organism in Eukaryota, Viridiplantae, Streptophyta, Magnoliopsida, Caryophyllales, Amaranthaceae. The transcript has 2 exons.